UAUAUGUAUAUAUGAUUUGACAUUUUAAUAUUUUGAAAACAUAACUUUAAAAGUGUUCCUAAAACAUUAAAUCAUUUGAAAAUCGUAUCAGAAUGUAUUAUAUCGAUGCCGGCUAUUUUAGGCAAAAAUGUGAAAUAAAUUUUGAAUUCACUCACCUCCAUUCGUGAAUAAAUCUGUAUAGCUCCGAUUAACCAUUUAUUGCUUGGAAUUUAUUAUGUUAC
Molecule: non-coding RNA, 221 nt
Organism: Pelobates cultripes (western spadefoot toad)
Lineage: Eukaryota; Metazoa; Chordata; Amphibia; Anura; Pelobatidae
Source: the annotation of a GenBank genome assembly